Molecule: ribosomal RNA, 158 nt
Filed under: Ralstonia solanacearum
Lineage: Bacteria; Pseudomonadati; Pseudomonadota; Betaproteobacteria; Burkholderiales; Burkholderiaceae
Description: partial 23S ribosomal RNA
Rfam family: Bacterial large subunit ribosomal RNA
Source: RNAcentral
CAGGCGAUGAAGGACGUAGUAGCUUGCGAAAAGCUGCGGGGAGCUGGCAAACGAGCUUUGAUCCGCAGAUGUCCGAAUGGGGAAACCCGGCCCGUAUGGGUCAUCCCUUGCUGAAUACAUAGGCAAGGGAGGCGAACGCAGUGAACUGAAACAUCUAA